This 361-nucleotide ribosomal RNA is filed under the name uncultured bacterium. RNAcentral describes it as "bacterial SSU rRNA". It matches the Rfam family "Bacterial small subunit ribosomal RNA", at positions 138 to 514 of the family's 1533-position model. The record is from RNAcentral.
CUGGGAUAACUCCGGGAAACCGGGGCUAAUACCGGAUAUGAGAUCUGCUGGCAUCAGCGGAUUUGGAAAGUUUUUCGGUUGAAGAUGAUCUCGCGGCCUAUCAGCUUGUUGGUGAGGUAAUGGCUCACCAAGGCGACGACGGGUAGCCGGCCUGAGAGGGCGACCGGCCACACUGGGACUGAGACACGGCCCAGACUCCUACGGGAGGCAGCAGUGGGGAAUAUUGGGCAAUGGAGGAAACUCUGACCCAGCGACGCCGCGUGCGGGAUGAAGGCCUUCGGGUUGUAAACCGCUUUCAGUAGGGAAGAAGCGAAAGUGACGGUACCUACAAAAGAAGCACCGGCUAACUAUGUGCCAGCAG